GCGUGCGCAGGCGGUUUUGUAAGACUGUCGUGAAAUCCCCGGGCUCAACCUGGGAAUGGCGAUGGUGACUGCAAGGCUAGAGUUUGGCGAGAGGGGGGUAGAAUUCCACGUGUAGCAGUGAAAUGCGUAGAUAUGUGGAGGAACACCGAUGGCGAAGGCAGCCCCCUGGGGUCAAAACUGACGCUCAUGCACGAAAGCGUGGGGAGCAAACAGGAUUAGAUACCCCGUGU
Molecule: ribosomal RNA, 230 nt
Filed under: uncultured bacterium
Lineage: Bacteria
Description: partial 16S ribosomal RNA
Rfam family: Bacterial small subunit ribosomal RNA
Source: RNAcentral